Molecule: long non-coding RNA, 455 nt
Filed under: Pan troglodytes (chimpanzee)
Lineage: Eukaryota; Metazoa; Chordata; Mammalia; Primates; Hominidae
Description: long non-coding RNA NONPTRT014768
Source: RNAcentral
GUGCCACCAUACCUGGCCACAGUUUUUAUUCAAAUUUAAAAUGCACAUAUCUUUUAAUAAUGUGAAAGUUGCAGACAUUAGGAUGAAAUCACCUUUUGACAGACCCAGACAAAAUAGAGACAAAAAGAGUCCUUGUUUCCAAGGACUUUCUAAAAACCCCACAAGAAACCCUUUCACGCCCUUCAUUGCAACUCCUGCUUUCACAUGGUUUAUCACUGCCAUUCUUUAGGACUGCAGUAAUUCAGAUAAGAUGCACUCAAAAGAACACUUGCCCAGUAAUGGCAUCGCCACCAAUGAACUGACAACUUGGCUUUGAGCCUCUGGAACCAAUGAACUCAGUUUCCAAGCAGCCUGUGUGAACCUCUCCCUUUUUGCUAAUAAAAGCUUCCCUUUACCCUUCCCUCACUGGAUGUACUGGUGGUUUGCCAGUGCAUUCCAAAUUACCAUACUUCUUU